RNAcentral lists this ribosomal RNA (467 nucleotides) under uncultured bacterium. RNAcentral describes it as "bacterial SSU rRNA". It matches the Rfam family "Bacterial small subunit ribosomal RNA", at positions 329 to 793 of the family's 1533-position model. The record is from RNAcentral.
GGCCAGACUCCUACGGGAGGCAGCAGUGAGGAAUAUUGGUCAAUGGGCGGAAGCCUGAACCAGCCAAGUCGCGUGAGGGAAGAAGGCCCUGCGGGUCGCAGACCUCUUUGGACGGGGAGCAAGGCCGCCGACGUGUCGGCGGAAGGAGAGUACCCGUAGAACAAGCAUCGGCUAACUCCGUGCCAGCAGCCGCGGUAAUACGGAGGAUGCGAGCGUUAUCCGGAUUUAUUGGGUUUAAAGGGUGCGCAGGCGGCCUGUUAAGUCGGGGGAAAAAGCCCGGGGCUCAACCCGGGCGAGCCGUUGAAACUGGCGGGCUGGAGUUGGAGAGAAGUAUGCGGAAUGCGCGGUGUAGCGGUGAAAUGCAUAGAUAUCGCGCAGAACUCCGAUUGCGAAGGCAGCAUGCCGGCUCCACACUGACGCUGAGGCACGAAAGCGUGGGUAUCGAACAGGAUUAGAUACCCUCGUAG